This 477-nucleotide ribosomal RNA is filed under the name uncultured bacterium. Its description in RNAcentral is "bacterial SSU rRNA". It matches the Rfam family "Bacterial small subunit ribosomal RNA", at positions 29 to 517 of the family's 1533-position model. The record is from RNAcentral.
AGCGAACGCUAGCGGCGGGCCUAACACAUGCAAGUCGAGCGGGGAGCAAUCCCAGCGGCGAACGGGUGAGUAACACGUAGGUAAUGUGCCUUUUGGUGGGGAAUAACCGUGGGAAACCAUGGCUAAUACCGCAUAUCGUGCUUCGGCAUGAAAGCUUCUGAGGCAACUCGGGGGCGCCAGUUGAGCAGCCUGCGUCCCAUUAUUUAGUCCUAGUUGGUAGGGUAAUGGCCUACCAAGGGUACGAUGGGUAGCUGGUCUGAGAGGAUGAUCAGCCACACUGGAACUGAGACACGGUCCAGACUCCUACGGGAGGCAGCAGUGGGGAAUAUUGCGCAAUGGGGGAAACCCUGACGCAGCCACGCCGCGUGAGUGAUGAAGGCCUUCGGGUUGUAAAGCUCAAUAAGUGGGAAAAAAUAAGCCCGUAAGGUGAUGAUGGUACCAUACUAAAGCACCGGCUAACUUACGUGCCAGCAGCCG